GACGAACGCUGGCGGCGUGCUUAACACAUGCAAGUCGAACGGAAAGGCCCUGCUUUUGUGGGGUGCUCGAGUGGCGAACGGGUGAGUAACACGUGAGUAACCUGCCCUUGACUUUGGGAUAACUUCAGGAAACUGGGGCUAAUACCGGAUAGGAGCUCCUGCUGCAUGGUGGGGGUUGGAAAGUUUCGGCGGUUGGGGAUGGACUCGCGGCUUAUCAGCUUGUUGGUGGGGUAGUGGCUUACCAAGGCUUUGACGGGUAGCCGGCCUGAGAGGGUGACCGGCCACAUGGGGACUGAGAUACGGCCCAGACUCCUACGGGAGGCAGCAGUGGGGAAUAUGGCACAAUGGGCGGAAGCCUGAUGCAGCAACGCCGCGUGCGGGAUGACGGCCUUCGGGUUGUAAACCGCUUUCGCCUGUGACGAAGCGUGAGUGACGGUAAUGGGUAAAGAAGCACCGGCGAACUACGU
This 467-nucleotide ribosomal RNA is filed under the name uncultured bacterium. RNAcentral describes it as "partial 16S ribosomal RNA". It matches the Rfam family "Bacterial small subunit ribosomal RNA", at positions 28 to 506 of the family's 1533-position model. The record is from RNAcentral.